Molecule: non-coding RNA, 85 nt
Organism: Cucurbita moschata (crookneck pumpkin)
Lineage: Eukaryota; Viridiplantae; Streptophyta; Magnoliopsida; Cucurbitales; Cucurbitaceae
Source: the annotation of a RefSeq genome assembly
GUGGGCGUGUCGGAGUGGUUAUCGGGCAUGAUUAAAAAUCAUGUGUGGGCUUUGCUCACCGUAGGUUCGAAUCCUGCUGCUCACG